UAAUACGUAGGGUGCAAGCGUUGUCCGGAUUUAUUGGGCGUAAAGAGCUCGUAGGCGGUCUGUCGCGUCGGAUGUGAAAACCCAAUGGCUUAACCUUGGGCCUGCAUUCGAUACGGGCAGACUAGAGUGUGGUAGGGGAGACUGGAAUUCCUGGUGUAGCGGUGGAAUGCGCAGAUAUCAGGAGGAACACCGAUGGCGAAGGCAGGUCUCUGGGCCAUAACUGACGCUGAGGAGCGAAAGCGUGGGGAGCGAACAGG
RNAcentral lists this ribosomal RNA (257 nucleotides) under uncultured bacterium. Its description in RNAcentral is "partial 16S ribosomal RNA". It matches the Rfam family "Bacterial small subunit ribosomal RNA", at positions 521 to 776 of the family's 1533-position model. The record is from RNAcentral.